Molecule: ribosomal RNA, 497 nt
Filed under: uncultured bacterium
Lineage: Bacteria
Description: partial 16S ribosomal RNA
Rfam family: Bacterial small subunit ribosomal RNA
Source: RNAcentral
GAUGAACGCUGGCGGCGUGCCUAAUACAUGCAAGUCGAGCGAACAGACGAGGAGCUUGCUCCUCUGACGUUAGCGGCGGACGGGUGAGUAACACGUGGAUAACCUACCUAUAAGACUGGGAUAACUUCGGGAAACCGGAGCUAAUACCGGAUAAUAUAUUGAACCGCAUGGUUCAAUAGUGAAAGACGGUUUUGCUGUCACUUAUAGAUGGAUCCGCGCCGCAUUAGCUAGUUGGUAAGGUAACGGCUUACCAAGGCAACGAUGCGUAGCCGACCUGAGAGGGUGAUCGGCCACACUGGAGCUGGGACACGGUCCAGACUCCUACGGGAGGCAGCAGUAGGGAAUCUUCCGCAAUAGGCGAAAGCUUGACGGAGCAGCGCCGCGUGAGUGAUGAAGGUCUUCGGAUCGUAAAACUCUGUUAUUAGGGAAGAACAAAUGUGUAAGUAACUAUGCACGUCUUGACGGUACCUAAUCAGAAAGCCACGGCUAACUACGUG